This 76-nucleotide microRNA precursor is filed under the name Myotis myotis. RNAcentral's name for it is "mir-9229 microRNA precursor family". It matches the Rfam family "mir-9229 microRNA precursor family". Lineage: Eukaryota; Metazoa; Chordata; Mammalia; Chiroptera; Vespertilionidae. The record is from Rfam by way of RNAcentral. RNAcentral also lists the same sequence under 1 other name.
GAGAUACUCUUACGGAGCAGGACUUGCUUCAGUGGGGCUUUGGUGCUCACUGAGUCUUCCCCUUGAGAGUGUCACU